CUACAUGUAUUUAUAUUUAGUUGGGCAUAGAAGCAGGAUAGCUUUUGCUUUUGAGAUAUGUUGUAUUUAAACAUAUUUUCAUGAGCACUGUGCCAAUCAGUUAAAAUUCACUGACUUGUUAGGCUUGUCCUUUGAAAUUGGAAGUGUUGCCACUAUUUAUUGGUGCCAGAGGACAUGAGGUAAGUGAUAAACACAAGGCAUAAAGCUCAGGCUGAGUAAGAGAUGUUGUGUAGUUGGUUGUCUAAUAGAGGUAUUUAAGUGACAAAUGAGUCAUCCUUGUCUUUUGGGGGGAACAUUUCUGUCAAGCCCCUCCUGAAGAAAAUAAGUUGGGCAUAAACAUGGCUCGUAGGUGCCUGGUUGCCUGCUUUUUUAGCACAGCCAGUCAAGGAUUUGUGAAAUGAUUCACCCUCACUCUCUGACAUCAGUAUUCAGAUAUUUUUUGUAGUGUAAGUGAGAAUUCUCAGCCAUAAGUGGCUUGUGGCACAGCCUGGAUUUGAACUAACUGCAGGACAUACUCUGUAUUGUAAAUAUUUUGUAGGCCUUUACUAGAUAAGCCAGUACAAGCUCCCCGAGUUCUUUUGUUUUUAAUUGGUGCUUGUGUCUGAUUGAGGGUAUGUUGAAAUAAGUUUUUUUUUCUUCUCUGAGGAUUCAAGAGCAGCAACAUUGAUUAAACCAAUAUAGUGUCUUAUAUUGGUGGUUUCCUUUUUUCUUGUGGCUUACUGUUUAAUAAUGCUUUCCCAUCCAGGUACUGACCAAGCUCCCGCCUGCUUAGUUUCAGUUGUGAGUUGCAGGGUGACAAGGCUGCUGGUUAUUUAGUUAAUAGUUUUUUCUGACUGUCAUUGUCAAAUGAUGAAUAGUGACAUGUUGAAAUAAGCUUUAAAUUUAGUUUUAAGUUACAGUGUACUAAAAAAAAUGUAAACGAAGUGUAGCAAUUAAAUUAAUGUCUUUAUCGUACUCUUUUCCGCUGGAGCCCUGCAGAGCGAGCCAGUGUUACCACGACAACUUGCCACGCCCCUACUGGCGUGUCAUUCUUCGUCGUUGCCAUGGAUGCAUGUGAGACAGGAAGUCUGUUCCAGCUGUAGCUACAGCUGCAUAGCUAGGAACACAUUACUUAAAGUGUGUUGCGAGACUGCUCUGGGCUCUGUUAAAAGUUUUUGCGCAGAGCCACAGCUCAGUCUCUAGCUUUGCAUCCCUUUCGCGGCGGUUCUCUUGAACAGUUGAAUUUGGACUCCCUCGAUGCUUCCCUACACUGUCUACCCGGUUUCGAACUUUGUUUUGUCCCCGUCUACAGCGCUGGGCCAUGUUUGCCUGUACCCCUGCUUACACCUGGGUUCACUUCACGACACACGGACUACUGCUUUACUCAGGUACGACCCGGCGGUAUUACAGUAUAAAUUAACAGAUCCCCCCGACAACUGUCACAACAAACAUUUAAGUGUUUAUGUCGGCACACCAGCGCCCGUUUGUGUUUAUGAAGCUGCUGCGUUUAUUUUCCAAUCAAUGCGUUACGGCGCUAAUGUGACUUGGCAGGUUUUUGCCAGAUUUUAUGUCAGUUCUAAGACACGCACAAUAAAAUGCAGACGUCUGAGAAACCUCUCUGCCGCCGUUUCUUGUUUUCCGCGGCAUAGCAUUAACUAACACAGUUGCAGCUGCAGCUAGAACAAACGGAACAGGCUUCCUGUCUUAUGUAUCCACGGCAACCGACGCUGACUAACAGGUGAGAAGGGGCGGGGCCAGCUGCCAUGGUAAUGCCAGGUCUCUCCCAGCGCUUCAGGAUCUGGCAAACAAGGAUUGCAGCUACCCACCAUUGCUACAGAACAUUUUGAGACUGGCUUAUUUUGGCAUCUACUGAGAACUGAGCCCGGGUGAUUACAUGGGGAAAGAGUGAGCCGUGAUGGAAAGUGACCAAAACAAAGACCUCUGGAGGGUGCUGGAUAGUACUUUUAAGGGCAAAGGUACUAAACUAAAACCCUGUAGUAUAGUAGUCAUGGUGGGGCAGCUGGAGUAGAUAACCUCCACUCCAGUCAAGAUGUGCCAGGAGAUGGGAGGAAAAAAGGGACUACUGGAGCAGAAGCAGGAACAAGUGUGCACACCCUUAGGGAGAGCAUAGACCGCCAUGCUGGCCCCAUGGGAAACGUCACAAAUGACUUUGGAAAAACGGGCUGUACUGUAGGAGAGCUCAGUGAGCUACUGGAAGCUGUGAUGGAGGUACGGUGGCAGCAGUUGGAGCAACAGAGAUGACAAGCAGAACAGAGGGAGCAACAUUUUCUCUCAGAAAAUUAAAAGGACUAAGGAAGAAUAAAUUAAACCUUUUCAAAUAGAAUAGGCUAUGGUUUAUUUUUAGUUGUUAUUCAGUAUCCUCUGCUUCCAAAAAGUUUAACAGCUCAUCAUUGUAUCAGUAGGAGUUAAAUAAAUUUGUCUAGAAGCAAUAAGAUCACUGCAACUAUUUACCAAUGGAGCGAGGUGAUAUGCAUCUCAUUAUCGUCACCAGGCUUUCAUACUAGAAACAAAAAAUUCCAGAACAUCAAUAUAAAGCAGCGUCAGAGGAGUAGUUUAAAUUGCAUCUUUCAUUCCUGUCAGUUUCAGAAAGGUGCCCUUUAGUAUUUGUGUUUGAUGUAAGAAACAGGAGAAAAAAAACAACAACUUUGUAUGCAUUUGUCUCCAUAGAGUCAAAUGUUCACAUCACAGAUCACAUAACCUUCAGUGAUAAAUUAAUGUCUAUUCAAGCUAUUUUUAAAAGUGUCUUCGUCAAUUGUCCUUUCACUUCCUACAAGGGCCAUGAACACAUUAUGCUCAUUGCAACUGAACACUUAGGAUAUGGGCUAUGACUAAUAAUGUGGAAACAAUGAAACGGGUGACAUUAAUUUCAAAAGGGACUACGUCUCAUAGAGCUGCAAUCACCCAGACAACUACUGUAUUCUGGUCAGCCAAUUUUGCUAUAUAUGCUUACAGCAUGCCUUUGAGUCUUAGUAAAACCCACAUCAAAAGGGAAAAAAACAAAUACUAUUAUUGUUAGUGUUGUGUUCUGUGUGUAUUGGACCUUCCUUGGGGAUCUUCCUUGAAAUUCACUUGCUAGGGUUCAAAUAUGGAUUUCAGUAUUUUCUGCUAUGGUCACAGGUGUAAAUAUGUUGUUAAGGAAUGGAGAUUGAGACCUAUUUAGCCUACUCAUCACAUCAGGGCAAUCUAAGUCAGCACAACUUGCCUAAAACAUCAAAUUAGCUCAUAUUUAGAAAGAUCAGAGUUGUCAAUUUUAUUGUACUUAAUGCAUUGACCUUCCUCCUACUUGUGUGAACUUUACAUUGAGAAUUUGCAGUUUAUGCUGCAAAUACAAAUCAGGUCAGAGUUCAUAUUGUUUGUUUUGCUUCUUCAGAGAUAUAGACCAAUUACCUCUUGCCUGGCUUUCCCAAGCAUUUUACUUUUUUAUCCUCCUUAGAAAUGGUUUUCAAACUUGGAUUCUUUGUACACUUAAUACAUUUGACUGAUGAAACAAAACAGUAUGAAAGUUCCAGCAACGAUACUGUGUUCUACCAGCCCUCUAUUUAUGCAAUUGAUAAUUGGUAGGGUCAAUAUAACAACUAAGUUGUUAGUUACAUUAAAUACUGUAAUAGGUUGGAUUGGAAGGGCUAGGGGUUAAGUAUCCCUGCUGCAGUGUAUAGUGUAAAAAUAAACAAGAAUUUGUGUUCAAAUCAUUCAUUAAGAAAAUAAAUUACAGCAUAUGCACAUGCAUAGAGAGGUGGCAAUCAUUAGCAUUCAAUUUGCUCUCACUAGGGUCUCUCUGUCUUGGCUAUAGCUCUACAGAAGCUUAGUCAUGUACUGGAUACAGUAAAUCCAUCAACACAUCCACUACUAAUCCAUUUUGUAGCAUAACUGCCCAUUACGGUACAACAGUGGCUUAAUAUUUCAACCACUUCCUGUUAAUAUAUAUUCUCUUCUAAUUAUGUAAUGGCUUUCUAUUUCAUUUACACAGGAAUGUGGUACAAGUUCAUGAAUAUAAAUAAUUACAUCGAGAUUGUGCAGGGAUUCAAACUGUUAAAGUAAAAUGUACCUUAAUUUAUUAAUUCUAUUACACUAGUAUUGCAUUCAAUGUAGACAGUGAAGGCCUGUAUUGUUGUUGCUGUCUUGACUGUGCAGUUUUACUGAUAGUUUCCAAUGCACUGAAUAAUGUAAUUUAAUGCUAGUUAUUUAAAGAGUGUAUGUAUAAUGAUUUAGAAUUGAACGCUACAUAUAAAAAUAAUA
This is a long non-coding RNA of Lepisosteus oculatus (spotted gar), 4236 nucleotides long. RefSeq lists it as uncharacterized. The record is from RefSeq and is a predicted model, not a curated record. NCBI's taxonomy places the organism in Eukaryota, Metazoa, Chordata, Actinopteri, Semionotiformes, Lepisosteidae.